RNAcentral lists this ribosomal RNA (331 nucleotides) under Ctenophora environmental sample. RNAcentral describes it as "partial Eukaryotic large subunit ribosomal RNA". It matches the Rfam family "Eukaryotic large subunit ribosomal RNA", at positions 2414 to 2747 of the family's 3401-position model. The record is from RNAcentral. Lineage: Eukaryota; Metazoa; Ctenophora.
UGUUGAGCUUGACUCUAGUCUGACUUUGUGAAAUGACUUACGAGGUAUAGCCUAGGUGGGAGAGAAAUCGAUCCUGUAAAACCACUACUCGUAUAGCCGUUUUACUUAUUCCGUUGUAAAGGGACUGGCUUUACCCAGUUCUAGCACUAAGGGCGCGGUCACACGUGCCUGAACCUUUGCGGGAGACAAGGUCAGUUGGGGAGUUUGGCUGGGGUGGUACAUCUGUUAAACAGUAACGCAGGUGUCCUACGGUGAGCUCAAUGAGAACGGAAAUCUCAUUUAGACUAAAAGGGGAAAAGCUCACUUGAUUUUGAUUUUCAGUAACAAUACA